Molecule: long non-coding RNA, 1547 nt
Organism: Hypomesus transpacificus
Lineage: Eukaryota; Metazoa; Chordata; Actinopteri; Osmeriformes; Osmeridae
Exons: 4
Source: RefSeq, a predicted model, not a curated record
UUACGAAAUGCAGAUUUACAUCAAUUAAACAUGCAAAAUGUAUCUAAAUAUUCCUAAGCUAAAAGCCAUUCGUUGCUCUUUUCCGUCAUUGCAUUGAUAUGAAAACAAUAGUAUAAUUUAGAGUGGCUAUAGCCUACCCUUAUUUCUGGAAAUAAGUGUUAUUUUGCCUCCACUAAUUAUUAACAAAUAAACACAAACGCAAAAAAACGACUAAAACAUUCAAACUGUUUGUCAACAAAAUACAAUUAAAUCCAUUACUGUAGUCAAAAACAAAUUUAGCCACAUAUUAGUAGUUUGAGAACAUUAUUUUGAUAGAUAAUUUUUGAAGAAAGGCGGUUUAGUUAGAUAACUCUUUUAGUACGCUAUAUUGGUUGCCAACUGAAACACGCUAACAACGAGUUGGUUAGAGAGAGGGAGGGAGAGAGAGAAGGAGAAAGAGAGAGAAUGGUUGAGUACGAGGUAGAAAUAUCCCUAAUUAUUUUUCUUAACGACCUAACGGUUUGCGAACGACAAUAAACGCUUUUUGUUUUGCAGCUAAAGAGUAGGCAAAGGCUAGUUACUCUUUACCACGGAGUAAAGCGCACCUCAUCCACCUGUGCAGAGGAGAAACCCUGAAACACACGCCACCUAUCUUCACGGGAGGGGAUAAUUGAGGAGCACCAAACGUGAGCAUCUUCUGGGAAACGUUCUAAGUUUUUUUCUUCUUUAUCUCUGUCCUCUCUCCCUCUCUCUUUGAUCUGAGUGAAAUGAACUAUGCCGGACUACCGUGCAGCCGAAGAGAGAAUGAUAUUUGAAGAAAGUUGGAAGGCUCAACGACAAUCACCACAACUCUGUGCAGUUGCAGGUAAUGAAUCUGCAUCUGUCAGGAGCGCCAUUUGAUACAUUUGCAAUGUUAAACAGAGAGCGGAGCAACUCAACAGGGGAAAUGAAAGCAGACAUUAAGGACACACAGAGAGAUGAGAGGGAGAGAGCACGAUGUGUCUUCCUGAGCCUGGUUCAGUGGGAGAGAGGCGCUGGUAAAUCUGGAUCAAAACCCAGGCACAACAGGAGGCCUACGUCUCCCAGGUAAUGGCUAAAUGACGAGCACAUGGGCUGUCACCAUAUCGAUUCAAGCAUUUCAUUCUAGCCAGUCACAAUUAACUCUGACUUUAUCAUCCCUUUCAACGUGAAAGAAUGACAAACUGAAUCACAAUAUCUGGGUGAGGUCUGAAACUGAAAAUCUCCUUGUGUUUAUGACUGAACCUGCAGCUACAUACCAAAUACAUGUUUACCUCUGUCACAUGAUUUAGUGUAAAUGCAUAUCCAUAAAAUGCAGUUCAUAGGCUGUCUAAAAGGAUGCUUAUUUUUAGAACAAACAUUUCUGGGCCUGUGUCCACACAACAACGACAAAAAUACAUGUGCUGUUCAACCAUCUGCUUUACGUUGCAAUUUUUUUUUACUUAAGGCUUUGCCACCCAUAGAUGGGUUGGAUAUGUUCUGAGCUGGGAGUGUGCUCGUGGGUUUGUGACUGGAGGCUUUUAGAGCUGAAUCUGACCUGGCCUUGGCCA